Molecule: long non-coding RNA, 2999 nt
Organism: Arachis duranensis
Lineage: Eukaryota; Viridiplantae; Streptophyta; Magnoliopsida; Fabales; Fabaceae
Exons: 3
Source: RefSeq, a predicted model, not a curated record
AUGGUUUCCCUAUUUAUCCCUGCUUUUAUUAAGAACCUAUUCUGCUGCUGUUUUUGUUUCAUGAAAGUUAGGCUUAGCUAGAGUUGCUUGUUGUUUUCCUUUUUGAUUAAUUGGAGCAUUCCUCUUGGUUUGAUUAGUGGAGAUAGCGCCCUUUUUAUUUGAGACAGAGCUUUGCAAUUUGGUUUUUUGCAUGUUAGGUUUGGGAUUGUGAAUAGUAACUAUUUUUUGCCCCUGACUUUUAGGGAUUUACUUGCCUUUUUUGGCAUGAUUAUUUCCUUUCUAGGAGUGGCCAGCAUGAUGAAUGAUUUAUUAAUAUUAUUUUUUGGGGGGAUUCAGUUUUCUGUAGGAAUCUUAAGUUUUAAGAUGCAAAGUAUAUAUAAUUUCUUAAUGAGUCGAAGGCCAAAUUUUGGAGCAUUGCAAAGUUGUUUAAUCAACUUUUUUGUUGGCGAGCGAAGACGCUAUGUUUGGUGAACAUGUUCUAUUUGAUUAAUUUUUGUGGUGCUUGUACUUUGUUUGGUUGUUUGUGGAAUUAUCCUUUCUAUUAGAGAAAUUGGACACUUUUAGUUUUGGAUAGUAGCUACUUUAUUAGAAAUGCUUCACUUUCUAAACUGUUGCAGAUUAUUUUAUCAUCAAUGUUGUAUACAGUGUCUACCAUACUAGUUUGCCAUCUUUAAUAAAUGAGUUGCAGAACUCACACUAGGGUGGAUUAAGAACUAUAUAGUUGAUAGUUCAUGAUCUGAUUUGAGUCUCCUUAAAUCACUUCAAUUUUUAUCCAUCUGAGGAUGGUGUGGUGUUUGGAUAAGUUAUAUUACUAAGCAAAUUAUUUUACCCUUUUAUCAGGAACUAUCUGGCUCUGUUUCUAGAUUAAUAAUGGACCGAAGCUCCAUUGAUUAUGGUUAUUGGGAUGGAGAAGGUGAUGCUGAAUGAACUCUAAAGAUGGUAGAGACAGGAGUAAUUGGUAGCGAGAUUGCCAUGGCCGAAGAGUCGGGCAUCUGGUCUAAACCCAACAGUGACAAUUUCACUCAAUGCAUAGAACUGCCAAGAAAUCAUAAGAGGCUAGAUGCAAAUAUCAAUGGCUAUAUCCUCAUAAACGCUAACGGUGGCUUGAACCAGAUGAGAUUUGGGGUCUGGCAGCAUUGAUUUCUGAUGGUAUAUUAUGAAAAGUUAGGUAGCAAAAGGUACCAUCUUAAUAAUUAUUACUCCACCUAGUAAUUGAAUUGUUCAUUAGACACUAUUAAUACCGAAUUGUAAUUGUCUCAAUAUGUGACUCACACUACUAUUUUGUGAUUAAAUUUAAUCUUAGUAAUUCUUAUCUGAUUGAGAAACAGUUGUGAUUGGCUUAUUUGUAGUAUAUAUAACUAUAUAGCUCUUAAUUCUAUGGAUUAAUUUGGUUGUUGGAGAAAUACUAGGUGUUAAUUCUAGACGUUUCACAUUAUAUUAUUUUGGGAGUGAAGUGUUUAUGGGUUGACUUUAGCUCUGUAGAGUGCAUGACUCUAAAAGCAUAGCUAGAGAAUAAAUUGAGAUAUGGAUUAUGAACAUCAAUUUCCAUAACUGAUGCAUGAGUUACAGUGUCACAAAAUUGUUACAUUUUUGCAAAAUGUCAGAAAAUUCAAUGAUGCACAUACAUAUUUUCUUGGAAAAUUGUAAUAGAAACCUGUGUUUUAUUUUGUCACAUGAUGACUUAUUAGGAUUGUGUGUUCUGCUGACACAGAUUUAUGGUGAAGAUGAAUGGUCAUUUGGGACCCAAUGAAUAAGGGCACACGCUACCUAAUAUAUAGUGUUAAUGGAUAUCAGUUGCAUUCUUUACAAUCGAUGGGAGAGAAAAUAGAUAAUAUCGGAGUCUAAGUUUGUGGGGAUGCAGGCAUUGGUCAUGCUGAUUGGUGUGGUGUGUUGCACCAGAUAAUUUAAUUAGAGUUUUUUUGUCGCACUACAUACAAGGUGUGUGUGUUUAAAUGUGAAUGGUAUGAUCGAAGUUCGCGAUGCAAAACACGAACACAUAAGGAGUACAAUAUUACUGAAGUAAAUGUAACCAGAAAAUAUAAGCAUUAAGACCUUUUAUUCUACCUUAAAAUGCACGACAGGUAUAUUAUUUGCCUUAUUCGGGGUCAUGCAAGUCUAAUUGGGAUGUUGUGGUUAAGACUAAGCCAAGAGGUCACAUCAAGUAUAAUAGGCAGAGGGUCAACAACCUUACCAAGUUUAUGACCUAACUCCUUCGAAAAUGGUGGUUGACAUCGGUGAUCCGAUCACCCUUAGGUCGGCUAUUAUGGAUGAUGAUAUCAUUGGCUAGGUAGAUGACGACACACUACCACUAGAGGACGAUCAUCUUUAAGAAGAGGGGGUCGAUGGAGACGAAGAAGAAAAAUAUGAGUUCGAUGAUCAGAAAAUUACCUUAGAAAAGGAGGAUAAUGAGCCAGAGGAAGAAGAUGAUGAAUCUAAAUAAGGUUAUCCUAAAUAUAGUUUAACUAGUUUGUUCUAUACUUAAACCUUAUUUUAGUCAGAUCAUAUAAUUACAAUGCAUGUUAGCGCUAGCCUUAGUUCUAUCUUAUGUAUUUCUUUAUUUCAUUCAUAUUUUUAUACUGUAUGUUUGAUCUUUUAGAUAAUGUAUAAAUCACUUUUUUUUAGAUAAAUUACUAAUUUAUACUUUAAUUACUAGGAAUUGACUAUCAAUUAUUAAUUUUCGUGGUCCAUUAUAGAUUGAAAAACAAAAUUACAAAAAAAUUGUUGUUUUAGUCAAAUUUACCAUAAAAAAUUUUCCAACAAUAACGAUGUUUCAAGGUUUUCUUAAAAAAAAUAAAAAAAAUUAGAGCUACCAUUGGAUUUUCCGAGGGAUAAAUCCAAUGGUAAUCAAGCACAAAGUUUCAACACUUGGAACCACAUUUACCGUCGAAAAAAUUUUGACAGUCACCGGCAUCAGAUGGCUGUUACCUAAACCUCGUGUUCUGCUAGUAAUUUCACCACAAGUUACCACCGAAAAAAAUUCGCCGAUAAAUAUUUAAUAG